AGUGACUCCAAUACUAUGAGAAAGAACUGGAGGCUGAAAAUUAAAAAAACAAACAUUUGACCACAUUUCAAUCUUGUGGUGCAGGAAGUGAUGGGGAGACACAAAAUUACCUGAAAUCCUGCCAAAGCUUGCAGAGGAUCUGUCGGUUCUUAAAGAACAGGGUGUGCCUCAAAACCAUUGCAUGGUUCAUUUAGUCACAAAACAAUGGACUUCAUUAAUAUGAACAAGUUUUUUUCUAUUGUUCCAGAAAUGGAAGUCACAAAAAAUGAGAGAUGAACACUGGGAGGCACUGGAAGAAGGAAGAAGGCAAUAGAGUAAAAUGCAAACAUUACAUUCACAAUAAAUUCCUGGACAAGAACGUCAUACUCAGUACUGGUCUCAAAAUGACUCCUCAGUUCCUGCAAUCAAAACUCCUGAGUUAGCUCAGACUCCGGGAACUCUACAGAGAACUCAAACUAAACAGAUACUGGCCCAAUGGAAACAGGCAGCUUCCCAAAAGGUGAUAAUGAAUAGGCACCAGAUGGCUGAUCGAGGACAAAACAAACACUCUUGGUGUGUGCCAGAGAGAGAGAG
This is a long non-coding RNA of Oxyura jamaicensis (ruddy duck), 573 nucleotides long. RefSeq lists it as uncharacterized. NCBI's taxonomy places the organism in Eukaryota, Metazoa, Chordata, Aves, Anseriformes, Anatidae. The transcript has 3 exons. The record is from RefSeq and is a predicted model, not a curated record.